This 75-nucleotide transfer RNA is filed under the name Moellerella wisconsensis. Its description in RNAcentral is "tRNA-Gln(ttg)". It matches the Rfam family "tRNA". Rfam says of the family: Transfer RNA (tRNA) molecules are approximately 80 nucleotides in length. Their secondary structure includes four short double-helical elements and three loops (D, anti-codon, and T loops). Lineage: Bacteria; Pseudomonadati; Pseudomonadota; Gammaproteobacteria; Enterobacterales; Morganellaceae. RNAcentral also lists the same sequence under 3 other names. The record is from RNAcentral.
UGGGGUAUCGCCAAGCGGUAAGGCACUAGGUUUUGAUCCUAGCAUGCCCAGGUUCGAAUCCUGGUACCCCAGCCA